RNAcentral lists this ribosomal RNA (199 nucleotides) under uncultured bacterium. Its description in RNAcentral is "partial 16S ribosomal RNA". It matches the Rfam family "Bacterial small subunit ribosomal RNA", at positions 336 to 526 of the family's 1533-position model. The record is from RNAcentral.
CUCCUACGGGUGGCAGCAGUGGGGAAUUUUGGACAAUGGGGAAACCCUGAUCCAGCAAUGCCGCGUGUGUGAAGAAGGCCUUCGGGUUGUAAAGCACUUUUGUCAGGAACGAAACGGACUGGGCUAAUACCCUGGUCUAAUGACGGUACCUGAAGAACUAAGCACCGGCUAACUACGUGCCAGGCACGCCGCGGAAUUC